RNAcentral lists this ribosomal RNA (250 nucleotides) under uncultured bacterium. Its description in RNAcentral is "partial 16S ribosomal RNA". It matches the Rfam family "Bacterial small subunit ribosomal RNA", at positions 779 to 1025 of the family's 1533-position model. The record is from RNAcentral.
UAGAUACCCUGGUAGUCCUGGCAGUAAACGGUGCACGCUUGGUAUGGGGGGAAUCGACCCCUCCCGUGCCGGAGCUAACGCGUUAAGCGUGCCGCCUGGGAAGUACGGUCGCAAGAUUAAAACUCAAAGAAAUUGACGGGGACCCGCACAAGCGGUGGAGUAUGUGGCUUAAUUCGAUGCAACGCGAAGAACCUUACCUGGGCUUGACAUGCAUCUCUCAAACGGUGAAAGCCGUGGAUAGGAGCAAUCC